This 555-nucleotide ribosomal RNA is filed under the name uncultured Clostridium sp. RNAcentral describes it as "bacterial SSU rRNA". It matches the Rfam family "Bacterial small subunit ribosomal RNA", at positions 50 to 600 of the family's 1533-position model. The record is from RNAcentral. Lineage: Bacteria; Bacillati; Bacillota; Clostridia; Eubacteriales; Clostridiaceae.
AACACAUGCAAGUCGAGGGGCAGCACGGGUAGCAAUACUUGGUGGCGACCGGCGCAAGGGUGCGUAACGCGUGAGCAACAUGCCCGUAUCAGGGGGAUAAUCCAUGGAAACGUGGUCUAAUACCCCAUAGUAAGUUUUUGGGGCAUCUCAAAGAUUUUAAAGCUUUGGUGGAUACGGAUUGGCUCGCGUGACAUUAGCUAGAUGGUAAGGUAACGGCUUACCAUGGCUACGAUGUCUAGGGGUUCUGAGAGGAAGGUCCCCCACACUGGAACUGAGACACGGUCCAGACUCCUACGGGAGGCAGCAGUGAGGAAUAUUGGACAAUGGAUGGAAAUCUGAUCCAGCCAUGCCGCGUGCAGGAAGACGGCCCUAUGGGUUGUAAACUGCUUUUGUAUGGGAGCAAUAAGAUCUACGUGUAGAUUGAUGAGAGUACCAUACGAAUAAGCACCGGCUAACUCCGUGCCAGCAGCCGCGGUAAUACGGAGGGUGCAAGCGUUAUCCGGAUUUGUUGGGUUUAAAGGGUGCGUAGGCGGUUUGAUAAGUCAGCGGUGAAAU